Long non-coding RNA from Homo sapiens (human), 2286 nucleotides. RefSeq lists it as uncharacterized. The record is from RefSeq and is a predicted model, not a curated record. Lineage: Eukaryota; Metazoa; Chordata; Mammalia; Primates; Hominidae. The transcript is spliced from 2 exons.
UGGUCUCCAAUUUUUGACCGCAAAUGAGCUGCCUGCCUCUGCCUCCCAAAGUGCUGAGAUUACAAGCAUGACCUGGCCUGGAUGAUUUUCUGUUCGACAAUUCAAGCUUCAGAUGAGGCCUAGGCAAGUGAUGAGUUUGGGGAACAUUCUUGAGUAAUCUAUUAAAUAUAUUUUUCAUUGGUUUUAGUAAAUCUCAAGAAGUUGUGAAGAAAAGGAAACAGAGGCUUCAGCUAGUCCAGAAUCGGCCAGCAGCAGACUCAAAGGAUCCUCAAGUUUAUAACCAAAGACUGCUUAGUUGACCUUUGCUCCAUGGUGGAUUUCUUGAGAAUCAGUUUGCAAAGGAGCAGCUUCCUUUUAUGAAGGGAAACUUUAUGCAGGGAAAUCACAUUUUUAGGAUAUAGCUUUUGUUUGAAGUUUGUAGUAGGGCCUGAGGGCAAGACCCUAAACAAGUUGUUUUUCUUUAACUCUGUCCUCUGCACUGGAAUGCAGCUUGCAACUCUUCUUUGCCUUUGUUGAGCAGGAAGCAUGAUAGCUGAAGGCCAAGGUUGAAGUUCGGAUGCUUUAUCUUCUUGAUAAAGAAGGGCAUAAUUAUGCACGGAUAAUAUUGAAAUAACAUCCAAAGUACACUUGCACUGUAGUCACCUAAAAGAAAAUUGGGAAAUACUAACUGGGAGUUGUUUGUAAAGAGCCUUGGCCUGGGUGUCAGAGGCUUAGGAGCAGAGCUGGGAAUUCUACUUAAAAAGUCUACUUUGGACUUGAUGACUUUGAAUAGCCCUUCCCACUGUAGCAUUCUGCCUCCUGUAUAUCUGACUGAAGGUGAACUCCCUGCCAUUGGCGUUCAUUUGGCAUUCAGAUGUUUCAGUGCAUCAUCCCUUUUAUGUUCGUAUUUCCAAGUUAACACUGGAAUGUACUGACAACACAUUUGUCAGGCACUACCCUUCCUAUAUAUAUUACCACAUCGAAUCCUUAUAACAAUUCUCUGGGGGCAGGUAUCCUAAUACAAAUUUUCCAUAUAAGGAAACUCAGACCUAGAGUGGCUAAGUCACUCACCUGAGAGCACACAGUAAGUGGUAGAAUGGGAGCUUAGCCCCUAGACUGACUCUCCUGAUAGUUUAUUAUACUAGUUAGAACUGUAUCUAAUAUUAAAAGAUUCGUAUUAGCAGUUUCUUUUAUAUUAUCAAAAUUUUAGAGUCUUGAAUAGAAAUAAUAAUGUGAUUUUAAAAGUCCUUAUUUGAAACCCCAACAUGCUUUUGAGCUGUAGAGGUGGUAUCCCAGUAGCUGGGGGUAGCCGCCAAAACACUUCAGUGUGAUAGGGCCUGGUCUUGCUCUCAGGAGGUUUCAAUGGGAGCCCAGUUGAAAGCACUGGAUUAGUGAUUAGGAAUAUCAUUACUGAAUGAGAUUGCAUGCAUGCUACCUUACAAUUUAGGUAGCCUCAUCUCAUGUCUUCUUCUUGGACCAGUGGUUCUCAAGGGGUUUCCAGGCCCCCAGGAGUCCGGAGACCCUUUUAGAGGGUCUGCAAGGUUUUCAUAGUACUACUAAAACACUACCCUUUUUGCUGCAUUGAUAUUUUUAUUGAGGUACAAAAGCAGUGGUGGGUAGAACUGUUGGAACCUUAGUAUGGUGGCACCAAACUACUAGUAGUAGUGAUCAUAUUCUUCAUAACCAAACACUUGCAGUAAAAACACAAGUGCCUCUUUGACUUAAGAAUGACCUUGGAGAAGCAAUAAAAAUUAUUACUUUUAUUAAAUCUUGGUCCUUAAGUAGAGUGACACAAGAUGAGAAGUACCCAUAAAGCACCUGCAUACUGAAGUACAACAUUUGUCUCAAAGAGAAGCACUUGUGUGACUGAAUUGUGAGCUGAAUUCUCUGCCUUUCUCAUGGAAUACUAUUUUUAUUGAAAGAACAACUGACAAGCUAUGGUUCUAUGGAUGGUAUGUUCUCAAAUAUUAACAAAGUGAGCCUAUCCCUUCAAAGAAAACAGCAGACAGAAUUUAUUGCCAAUGAUAAAAUUUUAGGUUUUAAGCAAAAAUAAGAAUUUGUUGUAGAAUUUGUGUCUGUCACUAUGACUUAAAAUUUUCUGAUACUGCUGGUGGUAUUUUAAUGUAUAUGAUAAUGUGAUUUUUUUGAUAUUAUAUAAUGAAAUAUGUCAACAUUUAGAAGUUCUACAUAUACUGUUUCUGUCUCUGGUGCUUGAAUCAGGAUUUAAAAAUAAUUUUCUAAAUGAUCAAUGCAAGAUGCUGUAAAAUUAUGGAUGUGUAAAAAAAUAAAUUCAAAGUGCAAGAUAGA